UUGGUUAAGUUAGAAAGGGCGCACGGUGGAUGCCUUGGCACUAGGAGCCGAAGAAGGACGGGACUAACACCGAUAUGCUUUGGGGAGCUGUACGUAAGCGUUGAUCCAGAGAUUUCCGAAUGGGGGAACCCACUAUCUUUAGUCGGAUAGUAUCCUUACGUGAAUACAUAGCGUGAGGAAGGCAGACCCAGGGAACUGAAACAUCUAAGUACCUGGAGGAAGAGAAAGAAAAAUCGAUUUCCUGAGUAGCGGCGAGCGAAACGGAAAGAGCCCAAACCAAGAAGCUUGCUUCUUGGGGUUGUAGGACACUCUAUACGGAGUUACAAAAGAAAGUUAUAAAUGAAGCGGUCUGGAAAGGCCCGCCAAAGACGGUAACAGCCCGGUAGUUGAAAUGGCUUUCCCUCCAGAGUGGAUCCUGAGUACGGCGGAACACGUGAAAUUCCGUCGGAAUCCGGGAGGACCAUCUCCCAAGGCUAAAUACUCCCUAGUGACCGAUAGUGAACCAGUACCGUGAGGGAAAGGUGAAAAGCACCCCGGAAGGGGAGUGAAACAGUUCCUGAAACCGUGUGCCUACAAGUAGUUAGAGCCCGUUAAUGGGUGAUAGCGUGCCUUUUGUAGAAUGAACCGGCGAGUUACGAUUUGUUGCAAGGUUAAGCGGAAAAAGCGGAGCCGUAGCGAAAGCGAGUCUGAAUAGGGCGCAUAAGUAACAGGUCGUAGACCCGAAACCAGGUGAUCUACCCAUGUCCAGGAUGAAGGUAAGGUAAUACUUACUGGAGGUCCGAACCCACGCACGUUGAAAAGUGCGGGGAUGAGGUGUGGGUAGCGGAGAAAUUCCAAUCGAACUUGGAGAUAGCUGGUUCUCUCCGAAAUAGCUUUAGGGCUAGCCUCGAGGUAAAGAGUCAUGGAGGUAGAGCACUGUUUGGACUAGGGGCCCUUCUCGGGUUACCGAAUUCAGAUAAACUCCGAAUGCCAUGUACUUAUACUCGGGAGUCAGACUGCGAGUGAUAAGAUCCGUAGUCGAAAGGGAAACAGCCCAGACCACCAGUUAAGGUCCCCAAAUAUAUGUUAAGUGGAAAAGGAUGUGGGGUUGCUUAGACAACCAGGAUGUUGGCUUAGAAGCAGCCACCAUUGAAAGAGUGCGUAAUAGCUCACUGGUCGAGUGACCCCGCGCCGAAAAUGUACCGGGGCUAAACAUAUUACCGAAACUGUGGAUGAACCUCUUUAGAGGUUCGUGGUAGGAGAGCGUUCUAAGGGCGGUGAAGUCAGACCGGAAGGACUGGUGGAGCGCUUAGAAGUGAGAAUGCCGGUAUGAGUAGCGAAAGAAGGGUGAGAAUCCCUUCCACCGAAUAUCUAAGGUUUCCUGAGGAAGGCUCGUCCGCUCAGGGUUAGUCGGGACCUAAGCCGAGGCCGAUAGGCGUAGGCGAUGGACAACAGGUAGAGAUUCCUGUACCAGUGCUAAUUGUUUAACCGAUGGGGUGACACAGAAGGAUAGGGAAUCGCACGAAUGGAAAUGUGCGUCCAAGCAGUGAGUGUGAGAAGUAGGCAAAUCCGCUUCUCGCGAAGCAUGAGCUGUGAUGGGGAAGGAAAUUAAGUACGGAAGUUCCUGAUUUCACGCUGUCAAGAAAAGCCUCUAGGAAGAGUAGUACUGCCCGUACCGCAAACCGACACAGGUAGAUGAGGAGAGAAUCCUAAGGUGAGCGAGAGAACUCUCGUUAAGGAACUCGGCAAAAUGACCCCGUAACUUCGGGAGAAGGGGUGCUCUAUUAGGGUGCAAGCCCGAGAGAGCCGCAGUGAAUAGGCCCAGGCGACUGUUUAGCAAAAACACAGGUCUCUGCAAAACCGUAAGGUGACGUAUAGGGGCUGACGCCUGCCCGGUGCUGGAAGGUUAAGAGGAGUGCUUAGCUUCGGCGAAGGUACGAAUUGAAGCCCCAGUAAACGGCGGCCGUAACUAUAACGGUCCUAAGGUAGCGAAAUUCCUUGUCGGGUAAGUUCCGACCCGCACGAAAGGCG
Molecule: ribosomal RNA, 2010 nt
Filed under: Listeria monocytogenes
Lineage: Bacteria; Bacillati; Bacillota; Bacilli; Caryophanales; Listeriaceae
Description: partial 23S ribosomal RNA
Rfam family: Bacterial large subunit ribosomal RNA
Source: RNAcentral